AUGAACGCUAGCUACAGGCUUAACACAUGCAAGUCGAGGGGCAGCAUGACUGAAGCUUGCUUCAGUUGAUGGCGACCGGCGCACGGGUGCGUAACGCGUAUCGAAUCUGCCCGUUACUCGGGGAUAGCCUUGCGAAAGUAAGAUUAAUACCCCGAUGUUGUCAUUAUGCCGCAUGACAUGAUGACCAAAGGUUUACCGGUAACGGAUGACGAUGCGUCUGAUUAGGUAGAUGGCGGGGUAACGGCCCACCAUGCCGACGAUCAGUAGGGGGUUCUGAGAGGAAGGUCCCCCACAUUGGAACUGAGACACGGUCCAAACUCCUACGGGAGGCAGCAGUGAGGAAUAUUGGUCAAUGGGCGAGAGCCUGAACCAGCCAAGUAGCGUGCAGGACGACGGCCCUAUGGGUUGUAAACUGCUUUUAUAAGGGAAUAAAGUGAGUCUCGUGAGACUUUUGCAUGUACCUUAUGAAUAAGGACCGGCUAAUUCCGUG
RNAcentral lists this ribosomal RNA (490 nucleotides) under uncultured bacterium. RNAcentral describes it as "bacterial SSU rRNA". It matches the Rfam family "Bacterial small subunit ribosomal RNA", at positions 29 to 507 of the family's 1533-position model. The record is from RNAcentral.